RNAcentral lists this transfer RNA (64 nucleotides) under Arenicella xantha. It matches the Rfam family "tRNA", at positions 5 to 66 of the family's 71-position model. Rfam says of the family: Transfer RNA (tRNA) molecules are approximately 80 nucleotides in length. Their secondary structure includes four short double-helical elements and three loops (D, anti-codon, and T loops). Lineage: Bacteria; Pseudomonadati; Pseudomonadota; Gammaproteobacteria; Arenicellales; Arenicellaceae. The record is from Rfam by way of RNAcentral.
UAGUAGCUCAGUGGGUAGAGCAGCGAACUAUUAAUUCGUCGGUCGCGGGUUCGAGUCCCGCCUA